RNAcentral lists this ribosomal RNA (245 nucleotides) under uncultured bacterium. RNAcentral's name for it is "partial 16S ribosomal RNA". It matches the Rfam family "Bacterial small subunit ribosomal RNA", at positions 524 to 768 of the family's 1533-position model. RNAcentral also lists the same sequence under 1 other name. The record is from RNAcentral.
UACGUAGGGUGCAAGCGUUGUCCGGAAUUAUUGGGCGUAAAGAGCUCGUAGGCGGUUUGUUGCGUCGGCUGUGAAAUCCCGAGGCUCAACCUCGGGUCUGCAGUCGAUACGAGCAAACUAGAGUGUUGCAGGGGAGACUGGAAUUCCUGGUGUAGCGGUGAAAUGCGCAGAUAUCAGGAGGAACACCGGUGGCGAAGGCGGGUCUCUGGGCAACAACUGACGCUGAGGAGCGAAAGCGUGGGGAG